GAUGAAGAACGUAGCGAAAUGCGAUAAGUAAUGCGAAUUGCAGAUUUCAGUGAAUCAUCGAAUCUUUGAACGCACAUUGCGCCCGCUAGUAUUCUGGCGGGCAUGCCUGUUCGAGCGUCAUUUCAACCAUCAAGCCCUAGGCUUGCGUUGGAGCCCUGCGGCUGCCGCAGGCUCCCAAAUCCAGUGGCGGGCUCGUCGUCGUACCGAGUGCAGUAAACAUCCUCGCUCAGGGAACGUGACGGGUUCUUGCCGUGAAACCCCCCACAUAUCAAGGUUGACCUCGGAUCAGGUAGGAAUACCCGCUGAACAUAAGCAUAUCAAUAAGCGGAGGA
Molecule: unclassified non-coding RNA, 332 nt
Filed under: soil metagenome
Description: partial contains 5.8S ribosomal RNA, internal transcribed spacer 2, and large subunit ribosomal RNA
Rfam family: 5.8S ribosomal RNA (bases 1-120)
Source: RNAcentral